UAGAUAAUUAUAAAUUAAAUUAAUUUAUUAUAUAUAAUGUAUUUAUAUUAAAUAUAAAAACUUAAGUGUUAACUGUUAUAAAUAAUUGUGUUACAAAUUCUUUAAAUAAUUAAUGAAAAUUAAAUUAUGAAAUUAAAAUUAAUAAAUAUAAAUUAAGUGCCAGCAAUAGCUGUUAAACUUAUUUUAUAAAUUUAUAGUUAUAAACUUUACUAAAAUAAAAAAUAAUUUAUAUUUAAAAAUAUAUUUUUUAGGUGAAAUUUAAAUUUAUGUAAAUGAUAAAAUUAUUUAGUAUAAAAUAUAAGAAAAUUAAACAAUAAUCUAGGUUUAGAUACCCUAUUAUAUUAAUAUAAAAAAUAAUUUUAUUAUUAAAUGUUGAAUCAUAAAAAUAAAAUAAUAUGGCGGCCUUUUAAUCUUUUUAGGGAAAUUUGUUGUUUAAUUUGAUGAUCCACGAUAGGAAAUACUUAAAUUUUAUUUAUGUAUUGUUAUUAUAAUUUAUAAAUAAAAAUUUAUAUAAAUAAAUAUUUUAUAUAAUAAUAUUUUAAAUCAAAAUGUAGUAUAUUUAAGAAUAAAUGAAUUAUAAAAAAUUUAAUUUUUGAAUAAUUAAUUUUAAUAUUAAUUAAAAAGAGGAUUUAAUAGUAAAUUUAUUAAAUUAUUUAAAUUGAAUAAAGUAUUAAUUGGUGUACAAAUUGCCCGUCAAUUUCUUUUAGGAAUAAGUCGUAACAUAGUAAAGGUACUGGAAAGUGUUUUUAGAUAAAA
RNAcentral lists this non-coding RNA (756 nucleotides) under Melipona scutellaris. Lineage: Eukaryota; Metazoa; Arthropoda; Insecta; Hymenoptera; Apidae. The record is from RNAcentral.